ACAUUCCCAGUUUAAUUCCAGCAUUAAAUUUUGAUUUUAGAAUUCAAAGUGUGGGAGUUACAUGUGAUCCUGGGGCAGGCUCCUUCCCCUGCCUUUGAGUUCUUCUGUCCGCUCAGGGGUUAGAGGUGCUUUGAACUCCUUAGUCGAUGCCUGUAAAUAGCGUUAAUUACCUUUCACACGACGUUAAGGUAUGACGUCACUCUUGAGGUGAUGACUUAAUAAUGAACCCCCUGCCUGGCGCCCUCUGGCGGACGCGGAGCACCACUGCUGAGCGCAGCUCCCCCCGGUGGCUGAGGGGCGGCACUACAUCCCCCGCUGCGAGCACCAGACGCCUCUCCACUGGGAACAGCGGGGCUGAAGUGGAGAGAGCGCAGGGAAGCGACAUCCCGGUCGCCCUCCGCGUCAGGUCCACGUUCAGCCUUUAAUCUCGGUGAUAGGGGCGGGGGGGGCAGAGAUGAUGAGCCAGGGCUGCUCCUCCUCCUCACCAGAGCACACAAACCCAUCAGAACUUGUCUUAGUUUCUCCUUUUUGGAUUAUUUUUGUGAGUUUCUUUUACAAUUCAUAAAAAGCCUUUGCCAAACCAAAGCGUGUGCUCCAUUAAACCUCCGUUCCGUCAUGCAAAUUGCUGUGGACUUUGACUUCCAAGUUCACCUGCUUCACCUUCCUGCCGCUCUCCCUCCACACAUUAACGUUCCGCACGGUGCAGUACCGGCUGUCUGCUGACCUUUCGGCUCCUCGGGGCAGCUCCACCUUGGUGUUCAGUGGAUGCUCCUCUGGGGCUGCUUCCCGCUUCUGCCGCAGCUUCCGACGCUUCCCGGUGAGGAGGCAAAGCCCGGCCAGCAGCAGCAGCAGGGCAAUGGCGGCAAAGGCGCUCCCCAGGGAAGCACCCGAUUGGGAGAAGGAGGCUGCCACGGCAGCUUCCUCCCUCUCCAAGAUCAGCGACUUCAUGUUGGUGCCGUUCUUGAUCUGGUCGCCUUCGUUGUCAUAGAUCAAGGAGUCGUCCAGCGUUGGCCUCCCGUCGGCACCAACCAGGUCCCUGCGGCUGCGUGGCCUCCAGUGGUGAGCGAGGGAGCGCUGGACGCGAGGCCCUGCCAUGCUUUCUGGGCCGAUCACAUAGAUGACCUGAAGGUACCACUGGUGUCCAGCUUCCACCUUGAAGAAAGAGAAGACAGACGCACACAUGGUGCUUUAUAGCUUUUAGAUCAGGUGAUUUUAAGUAAAGGCAGAGUUGGCUGCAUCUUGUGUCCUGUUCCUCAACUCAAAAGCUCAGCAUGGUUUUAUGAGCACCCGCCAUAAUAUUUAUCACCAAGUGAGGUGUUAGUCUUGUUUCCGACAAUGGCAAUAAUUAAUUCAGGAACACCAUCCCUGGCAGUGUUCAAAGCCAGACUGGAUGGGGC
This 1397-nucleotide long non-coding RNA is filed under the name Strigops habroptila (Kakapo). Its description in RNAcentral is "lncRNA (ENSSHBG00005019232.1)". Lineage: Eukaryota; Metazoa; Chordata; Aves; Psittaciformes; Psittacidae. The record is from RNAcentral.